Molecule: ribosomal RNA, 253 nt
Filed under: uncultured bacterium
Lineage: Bacteria
Description: partial 16S ribosomal RNA
Rfam family: Bacterial small subunit ribosomal RNA
Source: RNAcentral
GACAGAGGGUGCGAACGUUGUUCGGAAUUACUGGGCGUAAAGCGCAUGUAGGCGGCAGCGCAAGUCGGGCGUGAAAUCCCACGGCUCAACCGUGGAAGUGCACUCGAAACUGCGCAGCUAGAGUCCUGGAGAGGAAGGUGGAAUGCUUGGUGUAGAGGUGAAAUUCGUAGAUAUCAAGCGGAACACCGGUGGCGAAGGCGGCCUUCUGGACAGUGACUGACGCUGAGACGCGAAAGCGUGGGGAGCAAACAGG